This 231-nucleotide unclassified non-coding RNA is filed under the name plant metagenome. RNAcentral's name for it is "partial contains small subunit ribosomal RNA, internal transcribed spacer 1, and 5.8S ribosomal RNA". The record is from RNAcentral.
UCUCCGUUGGUGAACCAGCGGAGGGAUCAUUACAGAGUUGCAAAACUCCCAAACCCUUGUGAACGUUACCUAUCCCGUUGCUUCGGCGGGCGGCCCGGGCCCCGCGCCCGGCGCCCCCCGGCCCCCCGUGGGCGCCCGCCGGAGGUAAACCAAACCCUUGAAUUGCAUGGCCUCUCUGAGUCUUCUGUACUGAAUAAGUCAAAACUUUCAACAACGGAUCUCUUGGUUCUG